GAUUAUUCUCAGGGCGGGGUGUGAUUCCCCACCGGCGGUAAAUCGACUGUUGUCGAAAGCCCGCGAGCGCUUCCGGCGGUGCCGGAAGGUCAGCAGAUCCGGUGUAAUUCCGGGGCCGACGGUUAAAGUCCGGAUGGGAGAGAGUGACG
Molecule: regulatory RNA element, 149 nt
Organism: Klebsiella sp. RIT-PI-d
Lineage: Bacteria; Pseudomonadati; Pseudomonadota; Gammaproteobacteria; Enterobacterales; Enterobacteriaceae
Rfam family: FMN riboswitch aptamer (RFN element)
About the family: The RFN element is a highly conserved domain that is found frequently in the 5'-untranslated regions of prokaryotic mRNAs that encode for flavin mononucleotide (FMN) biosynthesis and transport proteins.
Source: Rfam